AGUCGAGCGGAUUGAUGGGAGCUUGCUCCCUGAAAUCAGCGGCGGACGGGUGAGUAACACGUGGGUAACCUGCCUGUAAGACUGGGAUAACUCCGGGAAACCGGGGCUAAUACCGGAUAGUUCUUUUCCUCGCAUGAGGAAAAGUGGAAAGGCGGCUUCGGCUGCCACUUACAGAUGGACCCGCGGCGCAUUAGCUAGUUGGUGAGGUAACGGCUCACCAAGGCAACGAUGCGUAGCCGACCUGAGAGGGUGAUCGGCCACACUGGGACUGAGACACGGCCCAGACUCCUACGGGAGGCAGCAGUAGGGAAUCUUCCGCAAUGGACGAAAGUCUGACGGAGCAACGCCGCGUGAGUGAUGAAGGUUUUCGGAUCGUAAAGCUCUGUUGUUAGGGAAGAACAAGUGCCGUUCGAAUAGGGCGGCACCUUGACGGUACCUAACCAGAAAGCCACGGCUAACUACGUGCCAGCAGCCGCGGUAAUACGUAGGUGGCAAGCGUUGUCCGGAAUUAUUGGGCGUAAAGCGCGCGCAGGCGGUCUCUUAAGUCUGAUGUGAAAGCCCACGGCUCAACCGUGGAGGGUCAUUGGAAA
This 590-nucleotide ribosomal RNA is filed under the name Bacillus sp. CH36_1T. Its description in RNAcentral is "bacterial SSU rRNA". It matches the Rfam family "Bacterial small subunit ribosomal RNA", at positions 60 to 632 of the family's 1533-position model. RNAcentral also lists the same sequence under 1 other name. The record is from RNAcentral. Lineage: Bacteria; Bacillati; Bacillota; Bacilli; Caryophanales; Bacillaceae.